GACGUAGGGCGCGAGCGUGUCCGGAUUUAUUGGGCGUAAAGAGCUCGUAGGCGGUUUGUCGCGUCUGCUGUGAAAACGCGAGGCUCAACCUCGCGCCUGCAGUGGGUACGGGCAGACUAGAGUGCGGUAGGGGAGAUUGGAAUUCCUGGUGUAGCGGUGGAAUGCGCAGAUAUCAGGAGGAACACCGAUGGCGAAGGCAGAUCUCUGGGCCGUAACUGACGCUGAGGAGCGAAAGCGUGGGGGAGCAAACAGG
Molecule: ribosomal RNA, 253 nt
Filed under: uncultured bacterium
Lineage: Bacteria
Description: partial 16S ribosomal RNA
Rfam family: Bacterial small subunit ribosomal RNA
Source: RNAcentral